Long non-coding RNA from Empidonax traillii (willow flycatcher), 696 nucleotides. RefSeq lists it as uncharacterized. The transcript has 3 exons. The record is from RefSeq and is a predicted model, not a curated record. NCBI's taxonomy places the organism in Eukaryota, Metazoa, Chordata, Aves, Passeriformes, Tyrannidae.
CCUUUUCCUUUGAAGUAGGCUCUUGUUAAAUUUCAAUAGACACUGGUUGAUCUCAGGAACUGCAGCCCCAAUUCGCUUCCUUGAUGCUCCAAACUCCACAGGUGGAGCAGAGGGAAGGGAAUAUGUGUUUGCCCAUGUGGGCACAAAGUGAGGUUCUGGUUGCUGAGGAAGCAAGUGCUAAUGAUCCUGCUUUAGACUAAUUACAACCCACAAGGACUGCAGGGCUGGGAACUCAUUAAUGUCUUCGCUGGUGUUGGUCUUUGUGUCUCUUCCAGUGUUGGCAAGAAUCAUGCUUUUUGUUCUCAUUUAGGUCUUUCAAUCUGGAUAAGGUCAAUGGGUUUGGUUUUGUUUUGAGUUUCCUAAUUUCCAGGAAAACAACUUAAGUGAAAUCAGAAGGGAAAAAUUCAUCCUUCCCUCCUGCUUGAGUGGAGCUGGGAGUGUGAACGAGCUUUGAUGAGCCCCAGCAUGAGCAGCAGUGGCUUCCCUGGGGACUGAAAGCUCACAUUGCUGCAGCUGAGAGCAGCCUCAGGGUUUACCACGACCAGACUGACCCCAUCCUGUGGUUCCCUGCUGGCAGAAUGAUGUUCUACAGAAGACCCUUCCCAGGAAAAUAUUUGGGCUCCUCAGCCUGCAUUGCCCCGGUGGGAUAAGACCACCGGGAUCGUGGUGGUUUCUGCGUGGCUGACAACUUGGGAA